Long non-coding RNA from Daphnia carinata, 922 nucleotides. RefSeq lists it as uncharacterized. The transcript has 5 exons. The record is from RefSeq and is a predicted model, not a curated record. NCBI's taxonomy places the organism in Eukaryota, Metazoa, Arthropoda, Branchiopoda, Diplostraca, Daphniidae.
CUUUUAAAAGCAAUAUGUAUAUAUAUACGUUCUUGUCAUUGAAAAAUAAAAUAAUAUAUAUAUAUAUCCCCUUUUUUUGAAAAGUUUUGCCUUCAAAAGAUUUAUUUGGAUUUAUUGAAUCUUUUGAUCCAAAACUAUCCUGAGGAAUUUGAUGGAGCUCUUGAUUUUAUUUCAAUGUCACAUGCUACUUUAGCAAGUGUGAAACCCUGUUAGCUGGCGGUUGCAAUGAUAGAAAAAUAGUCGUCUAUGAUUUCUUUACAAGAGGAACAGUGAAGAUCACUGUACUGAUGAUUCAUCAGUACUCAUCUACAGCCAGUCUGUUCACUAUGCUGGUCAAGGUGUAGAACACAAAUUUUAAGUGCAUCUGCAGACAGCACCAUAGCUAUUUGGGAAGUUCACCUUGGAAAAUGUAACCAAAGGUACAGGUUUUCUUCACCAAUUCUAAAAGUUCAGUUUCACCCAAGGAAAGCUGACACUUUUCUAGUUUGUCCCAUGAGACAUGCAGCUGUACUUGUUGAAUUAGAAGAAAAUCACAAGUUACCCUUAGAUGAAGAAGAUGUCAGUAUAUUUAUACUGGUACUGGGUUCAUCCUGGGACUGUGUGCCACAUCACUAGAAGUUAAUUUUCACCUGUUUUUCGGUUCCGAGGUACGAGCAGCUAAGAAUUAAAAACUAAAGCCAGAUUUAGUACUGAUGAUUGUCAAAUAGGAUUUUUAUCUUUUAGAGAAUUUAUACUGUUCAAAGACUUGCCGAGCUGGUUACUGGCAACGUAUUGAAAUACAAUAGCGAUAUUGUAACAAACGGAAAUCCAAAAAAUAAAAUUUUAAACGGCUCUUAAAAAAGGCCUCGGCUUGUUUAUUGAAUCGAGAGCUUCCCGAGGAAUUUAAAUGAGGGUAUUUGUUUUUUUUACCACAUUGAGAAUA